UGGGGAAUAUUGCACAAUGGGCGAAAGCCUGAUGCAGCGACGCCGCGUGCGGGAUGACGGCCUUCGGGUUGUAAACCGCUUUCGGCAGGGAAGAAGCCGUAAGGUGACGGUACCUGCAGAAGAAGCGCCGGCUAACUACGUGCCAGCAGCCGCGGUAAUACGUAGGGCGCAAGCGUUGUCCGGAAUUAUUGGGCGUAAAGAGCUCGUAGGCGGUUCGUCGCGUCUGCUGUGAAAUCCUCAGGCUCAACCUGGGGCGUGCAGUGGGUACGGGCGGACUGGAGUGCGGUAGGGGUGACUGGAAUUCCUGGUGUAGCGGUGGAAUGCGCAGAUACCAGGAGGAACACCGAUGGCGAAGGCAGGUCACUGGGCCGCAACUGACGCUGAGGAGCGAAAGCAUGGGGAGCGAACA
RNAcentral lists this ribosomal RNA (409 nucleotides) under uncultured bacterium. RNAcentral's name for it is "bacterial SSU rRNA". It matches the Rfam family "Bacterial small subunit ribosomal RNA", at positions 355 to 774 of the family's 1533-position model. The record is from RNAcentral.